CAGAGGAGGCAGGGGGUGGAGGGGCGGAGGGAGAGAGUGAGUGAGAAUCUUAAGCAGGCUCCACACUCAGCAGUGGAGCUUGAGGCCAGGCUCAAUCUCUUGACCCUUGAGAUCACGACCUGAGCCAAAACCAAGAGUCCAGUGCUUCACUGACUGAGCCACCCUGGCGCCUCUAAACUCUGUUUUUCUAAUAUCGCUUACUGUUCAGUCCUCUCGAUUAGAUUUUCCUGGUACAUCUUUUUUCAGAUCUUUAUUUUUAUCCUUUCUAUCUGGUUUUAAGAAGUUUCCCUUGUAAAGAAGAACAGUGAAGUGAGUUUCGAUUUUGAACCCUGUCUAAUUAUCUGGGGGCGUGGGCAGAGGAAGAGGGGGGUCAAACCUGCUCACAAUGGUAGGCUAUACCGGUGCGCUACCCACUAGCUUUGGUGAUUUCGGUUUCUAGCCUUUUUCUUUGUGUUUUCCCUUUCCCCAGCUUCAUGUUGGAUGAUCAUUUCCUCCCUUCCCCUAGUUUGGAAGCCACAGAUUGUAUUUUCAUGCUUUUGGUGGUUAUCCUUAAAUUUAACACAGAUUAACACAACAUUUUCUAACACAGACAUCACGCUUCCCUUACUGCACACCUAUGCCUCAGCCUUUCCACCUUGGCCCUGCAGUGUUUGCUGCGCUGGGGAACUCCUGGGAGCUGAGGAGGAGAGGCUAUGAGACAGCACGGGAGGACAGCUCCGUUUUCAAAAUGCGGGCAUUUCGGUGAUUCCAGCACAUAAGAAACAUGAAAUGCAGUGGCCCAGGCAGUGGUAUUUCAAAGACACUAUGACAAGAAGGAAGACACAAUUUUAUUGGUCAGGAAAUGUGUUACUGUGCUUCCAUUGUAAGCGCCUUUUACAUCUGAAUGUCCUUGGGGCUCGUAACCUCUACUUUUUCUUUUUCUUACUUGCGGCGGGCUUGCUGGAUUGGGAUACUGCCGUGUCCUCUUUGGGGGGGCUUGGUGUGAAACUCGAGGACGGGGCAUCCACCGGUUCCUUGAGCACAGUGAUGUCCACAUCACAUUCUGGUCUUUUGGCCUCUUCCUCUCUCAAGCUGUUCAGCCUAACACAAGAAGCAAACACAGGAAGGUACCUUUGAUUUUUCUUUGCAAUUUCAAAACCAGCUUUAUGCUCUAUUUUGUUUAUGCCAAGUAGGCCAUCCCUAGAUUUCAACAGUUUCUGUAAGCAGAACUGUAAAUUGUCCUCACUUUGCCUGAUAUACAAAGCGAUGCCAUGUCUGGACAGUCCAGAAUAAAAUUUUCAUGUAUCUAAAGUGAUUUUUGAACCAUUUUCCUCUGUAGCAACUUAGCAGCUAGUAAGUAGCCUUUUAAAAUACUCAUGGUCUUUGCCCCUACAUAUAGUUUAAUGCUUCCUUCAACAGACCAUCAGGCUCAAUGUGUGUCUGCAAAGAGCAGGCUUUAGCACUCUGGCCAGAUGUGACUGCACAGUUCUCGACCACGGUUCUAGAAAGGUAGGCGAGCAGCAGAUAGUGGGCGCUCAGCAUGGGCAAGGCACUGUUUUAGACACAUCACAACAUCCGCUCACUGAAUCCUUGCAACAGCCUGCUGUGGGGGAUUAUCUGCACGUACAGAUGGGGAAACCAAGGCACUGAGUGGACCUUGCCCAGGGUCACCUACGUGCCAAGGGGCAGGGCUGGGAUCCGAACCUAGUAGCCUAGCUCUGUGGCCCCUCGGUGCUUCUCUGUGUGUGCCCUGGGGCCCAGGUGUUCCCACCACCCGGGAGAGCCAGUGGUCCCAGGCAGGAUUCUUCCGGCAGUUCCAGGUUCUCGGUGCCACCGAAGGAGCCGCCUCCCUGAGGAAGUUGUACACUUUUCAUGAAAGCCUUUGGUCCCCGGCCACAGAGAUGGGAAGGAAAGCUGGAGGAGAGGAGCCGGAAGGUUCUGUAAGUUACCUGGCUUCCAGCUCGUCGUUUUCCAGUUUCCUCUGCUGGGCCAUGGCCUCCUGGUGCCGCCUGUUCUCUCUUAUUUUCUGCUUGAGGAUUUCUUCGUGUUUAUGUGCAGGGAACAAGAUAUUCACAAAAAAGAUGUACAAACUUGUGAUCCACACAGCAAAUUUUUCCUUUUGUUCGUCCUUGGAGUUUUCUUUUCUCUCUGGAAGAAAGUUUAAAAAGGAGCCUGAAGACAAUCCCGGUUCGGCCCCUUCCUGCCUUGUCUGAGCAUUUUCAGCCCCUGGAAGAUGAGGGGAGGCUGAAGGUCACCACCAAGGGCUUCCCUGACCACCUGAAACAAGGCAGGUGUCCGCGGACCAGACCUGUGAUUGCCGGCACGUUGAGUCUCCUGAUGUGUUCUAAACGGUAUUUUAUUAUUUAGAGAGUGCAGGCGAGCGGAGAAGGAGAGAGUCGCAAGCCAAAUCCGCACUGAGCGAGCGUAGAGCCAAGCGCAGAGCUCGGUGUGGGACUCGAUCUACCUCUCUGAGGUCGUGACCUGAGCCGAGACCAGGAGUCAGACGUUCAGCGGACUGAGCCACCCCGGCGCCCCGUGAAAGAGGAUGUUUAACUCUUAAUUGCAGAAGGCGGCAGGUAAAACUACUGCUUUGGUGAGUUGCUUCCCAUCUACACGAGGGCCAACAGAUGUCCACAUGGGAAUGUGUUUAAGUAGCUGAUUCUGGGCAGAUAACGCUUUGAAUAGUUCUGUAAGGUCAGUAAGCUCAGGGAUCUCUCAAGACAGCGAGCGUUUAUAGUGUGGGCCACUCUGCUGCGUGCGGGUGGGGAGGGGUGAGGACACGGGACGGGGAUGACGGAAAGGUUUGGUGCCGCGAACAGUCCGCCUUCCCAUCUCAUGAGCCACGGGGCCGAGCACGGAGUGGAACGCUAAUACGAAGAAACUUGAGGCCAAUGCCAGACUUCACAAAGACUGAGGGAGACCCUCAUCGGCACUUCCCACGUGAAUUCGUAGGUUCUAGAAUAUCCACGUCAGCCACGGCAGGCUAGGCUUGGGAGAAUGUUGUGCGUGGAGGUAGGUGAUGAAUAAUGACUCAGGGGGUGACUGACCCUCUAACAGGCUCUGGGCGCCGUGUCCCAGGCAGGCCCAGCCUCUGCUUCAGAAGUAGCAGAGUGCGGUAGUUAAGAGCAGACAGGAGCCAAGCAAGGUCCAGUCCAGGCUCAGCUCUGCCACUGACUAGCUGCGUAACCUGCGACUGAAUAUCUGUGCCUUGGUUUCCCCAUCAAAAAGGGAACCAUGGAGGGUCCCCCUCACAGAGGUGGUAUGAAACCUAGAUGAUUUAACAGUAAACACUGAUACACUAGCGGUUUUCCCACAAGCCAUGCUUGCCAAAGCAAAUAAUUAUAAAACAAAAGGUCAUGCACCAAAUGUAUCAGAUGAAAAAUGACCUGUAUCCAGGUUACAUGAAUAACUCAAUGAGACAAUCCAUUAAAAAAAUUUUUUAGGGGCGCCUGGGUGGCUCAGUGGGUGAAAGCCUCUGCCUU
Mustela erminea (ermine) is the source of this 3461-nucleotide long non-coding RNA. RefSeq lists it as uncharacterized. Lineage: Eukaryota; Metazoa; Chordata; Mammalia; Carnivora; Mustelidae. The record is from RefSeq and is a predicted model, not a curated record. The transcript has 3 exons.